Molecule: ribosomal RNA, 607 nt
Filed under: uncultured soil bacterium
Lineage: Bacteria
Description: bacterial SSU rRNA
Rfam family: Bacterial small subunit ribosomal RNA
Source: RNAcentral
CGCUGGCGGCGCGCCUAACACAUGCAAGUCGAGCGAGAACCGGAGCUUCGGCUCCNGGGGACAGCGGCGAACGGGUGAGUAACACGUGGAUAACCUGCCCUCGGCACCGGAAUAGCCCGGGGAAACCCGGAUUAAUGCCGGAUGGCCCCACAUCCCUGCGGGGAACGUGGGAAAAGGUAGCUUCGGCCUCUGGCCGAGGAUGGGUCCGCGGUGGAUUAGCUUGUUGGUGGGGUAAUGGCCCACCAAGGCGACGAUCCAUAGCUGGUCUGAGAGGACGAUCAGCCACACUGGGACUGAGACACGGCCCAGACUCCUACGGGAGGCAGCAGUGGGGAAUCUUGCGCAAUGGGCGAAAGCCUGACGCAGCGACGCCGCGUGCGGGAAGAAGGCCUUAGGGUUGUAAACCGCUUUCAGGAGGGACGAAGCCACUCGGGUGAAUAGCCCAGAGGGUGACGGUACCUCCAGAAGAAGCCCCGGCUAACUACGUGCCAGCAGCCGCGGUAAUACGUAGGGGGCAAGCGUUGUCCGGAUUCAUUGGGCGUAAAGGGCGUGUAGGCGGCCAGGUAGGUCGGUUGUGAAAACUGGAGGCUCAACCUUCAGAGGUCGA